UGGGGUUUCUGGAUUUGUGGGGUUAGGAGGGUUUGGGAAUUUGAGGGGUGUGUUUGAAUGGAAUGGAUUAAAAUUGGAACUGGAUGAGACUAGUUUUGAGUUUGGAACUUUGUAUGAGAUUGAGUGCGAAAGCAAUGAUCCAGAUGGAGCCAAGAAAAUGCUUGAGGACCUACUGAAGGAGAAUGGAAUUGCGUACUCCUACUCAGAGGCUUCAAAGUUUGCGAUUUUUCGAUCUGGGAAGCUGCCAUAUUAGAGAGAUAUCGGUCGUGUGGCUUCCAAGACGACUA
Molecule: unclassified non-coding RNA, 287 nt
Filed under: Hevea brasiliensis (rubber tree)
Lineage: Eukaryota; Viridiplantae; Streptophyta; Magnoliopsida; Malpighiales; Euphorbiaceae
Source: RNAcentral